This 253-nucleotide ribosomal RNA is filed under the name uncultured bacterium. RNAcentral's name for it is "partial 16S ribosomal RNA". It matches the Rfam family "Bacterial small subunit ribosomal RNA", at positions 524 to 776 of the family's 1533-position model. The record is from RNAcentral.
UACGUAGGGUGCAAGCGUUGUCCGGAAUUAUUGGGCGUAAAGCGCGCGCAGGCGGUCCUUUAAGUCUGAUGUGAAAGCCCACGGCUCAACCGUGGAGGGUCAUUGGAAACUGGGGGACUUGAGUGCAGAAGAGGAGAGUGGAAUUCCACGUGUAGCGGUGAAAUGCGUAGAGAUGUGGAGGAACACCAGUGGCGAAGGCGACUCUCUGGUCUGUAACUGACGCUGAGGCGCGAAAGCGUGGGGAGCAAACAGG